Molecule: ribosomal RNA, 551 nt
Filed under: Cladosporium cladosporioides
Lineage: Eukaryota; Fungi; Ascomycota; Dothideomycetes; Cladosporiales; Cladosporiaceae
Description: eukaryotic LSU rRNA
Rfam family: 5.8S ribosomal RNA (bases 163-316)
Source: RNAcentral
GGGGUAACAAGUGAACCCGGGUUACCACCGGGAUGUUCAUAACCCUUUGUUGUCCGACUCUGUUGCCUCCGGGGCGACCCUGCCUUCGGGCGGGGGCUCCGGGUGGACACUUCAAACUCUUGCGUAACUUUGCAGUCUGAGUAAACUUAAUUAAUAAAUUAAAACUUUUAACAACGGAUCUCUUGGUUCUGGCAUCGAUGAAGAACGCAGCGAAAUGCGAUAAGUAAUGUGAAUUGCAGAAUUCAGUGAAUCAUCGAAUCUUUGAACGCACAUUGCGCCCCCUGGUAUUCCGGGGGGCAUGCCUGUUCGAGCGUCAUUUCACCACUCAAGCCUCGCUUGGUAUUGGGCAACGCGGUCCGCCGCGUGCCUCAAAUCGACCGGCUGGGUCUUCUGUCCCCUAAGCGUUGUGGAAACUAUUCGCUAAAGGGUGCUCGGGAGGCUACGCCGUAAAACAACCCCAUUUCUAAGGUUGACCUCGGAUCAGGUAGGGAUACCCGCUGAACUUAAGCAUAUCAAAAGCCGAGGGAAUCAUUACAAGUGACCCCGGUUUA